GCUCAGAUUGAACGCUAGCGGGAUGCCUUACACAUGCAAGUCGAACGGCAGCACGGACUUCGGUCUGGUGGCGAGUGGCGAACGGGUGAGUAAUGUAUCGGAACGUGCCUAGUAGCGGGGGAUAACUACGCGAAAGCGUAGCUAAUACCGCAUACGCCCUACGGGGGAAAGCAGGGGAUCGCAAGACCUUGCACUAUUAGAGCGGCCGAUAUCGGAUUAGCUAGUUGGUGGGGUAACGGCUCACCAAGGCGACGAUCCGUAGCUGGUUUGAGAGGACGACCAGCCACACUGGGACUGAGACACGGCCCAGACUCCUACGGGAGGCAGCAGUGGGGAAUUUUGGACAAUGGGGGAAACCCUGAUCCAGCCAUCCCGCGUGUGCGAUGAAGGCCUUCGGGUUGUAAAGCACUUUUGGCAGGAAAGAAACGUCAUGGGUUAAUACCCCGUGAAACUGACGGUACCUGCAGAAUAAGCACCGGCUAACUACGUGCCAGCAGCCGCGGUAAUACGUAGGGUGCAAGCGUUAAUCGGAAUUACUGGGCGUAAAGCGUGCGCAGGCGGUUCGGAAAGAAAGAUGUGAAAUCCCAGAGCUUAACUUUGGAACUGCAUUUUUAACUACCGAGCUAGAGUGUGUCAGAGGGAGGUGGAAUUCCGCGUGUAGCAGUGAAAUGCGUAGAUAUGCGGAGGAACACCGAUGGCGAAGGCAGCCUCCUGGGAUAACAC
RNAcentral lists this ribosomal RNA (723 nucleotides) under Achromobacter sp. 110602_136_C_B7. RNAcentral describes it as "bacterial SSU rRNA". It matches the Rfam family "Bacterial small subunit ribosomal RNA", at positions 22 to 740 of the family's 1533-position model. Lineage: Bacteria; Pseudomonadati; Pseudomonadota; Betaproteobacteria; Burkholderiales; Alcaligenaceae. The record is from RNAcentral.